UGAGGGGCUGAGGAGUGAAAACUGUAAAUUAAAGAAGCUAAGACUGUCUCUUUCUAGUUUCACCUCCUCAUGUUGCUCAGCUCUCUCUUCAGCUCUUUCUUCUCCACACUCACGACUGACUGAACUGAAACUGAGUGUCAAUGACAACAUGGAGGACUCAGGAGUGAAUCAGCUGGGUGAGGGGCUGAGGAGUGAAAACUGCAAAUUAGAGAAACUGAGCCUGUCUUAUUGUCAUCUCACCUCCUCAUGUUGCUCAGCUCUCUCCUCAGCUAUUUUAGCUCCACCCUCACGACUGACUGAACUGGACCUGAGCUACAACAA
Polypterus senegalus (gray bichir) is the source of this 321-nucleotide long non-coding RNA. RefSeq lists it as uncharacterized. The transcript has 3 exons. The record is from RefSeq and is a predicted model, not a curated record. NCBI's taxonomy places the organism in Eukaryota, Metazoa, Chordata, Cladistia, Polypteriformes, Polypteridae.